RNAcentral lists this long non-coding RNA (1413 nucleotides) under Anolis carolinensis (green anole). RNAcentral describes it as "lncRNA (ENSACAG00000032157.2)". Lineage: Eukaryota; Metazoa; Chordata; Lepidosauria; Squamata; Anolidae. The record is from RNAcentral.
UUUCAGCUGUCUCUCACAUGCUAAGUAAAACAAAUACAGUCAUUUUUCUUCCUCCUUUCUUGAAAUAUAUCUAUGCAACUAGUUGAAGAUAGAGAUCCCAGCUUAUAUUCAUUUCCAUGUCCCAUAUUCUCUUCCAGAAUGCACAUGAAUGACCAGAACACCCAAGAAUUUCCCUCUCUGGAAAUCCCUCCAGACCAGCCUUAUUUGAGAUGGAUUCCCAUUUUGUGCUCCCGCCCGAAACGAAAGGAAUGAAAGAACGGAUGAAACAGGAAAAACGGGUGCCGAGCUGAAGGGAGAAGUGGGAGGAAGAGAGAGAAACUUUUUAGAAGCAGUUGAAAAAAGCCUCAUGCCUGAUUAACUGGAACUGCAUCUGCCAAACUAGGAUAGUUGGAGAACAUAUUACAGUGCCCAUCAUCCAUAUCUAAUUCAGUUUAUUGGCUACUUGGAAAGAUCAGAAAAUUAUUUCAAAGCUAGAAACAGGUUAGAUGUGUCAAGGAAAAUGCUCUUGGGGUCUGGUCAUCAUUGCACAUGAACUUCAUAGAAGUACCAUUGGAUUUUGGAUCUUUCUCACACCAUAAAUGCAUGACCAACAUCAUGUCUGUUCUAACUAUCAAAGAGAAACAUCUCUUGCCUUAACACAUGGUAUUAUUUGGAUUGUUGUAAUUUUAGUAUAACAAACCAGGAAUACAAUCUUAAUAAUUCAUUAAAAACAAAAUAAAACAUCAUAAAAAGUAUGGAUUUUUAUUAUAAAAAGUGUUUCCCUUAAAUAUAAUUCAUAAAGAUUUUAUUUUGUAUUAUUACUUGAGUGAUUGUAAGGUUGUUGUUCUUUUACUAGUUUGACUUCUGGAAUGUAUUCUAUAGGGUAUUCAUCUUAAAACCUAUUCUCUUUAGAAGCUAUACAAAGCCAGUGUUUUUUCUGUGCCAGAAUUGGUUCUUAUAACUACAUUUUUCCAGAAUGAAAUCAUAAAAUAUUGUUAGAAUUAUUAUGCGAUCAUUUUUUAUAAUGGUGCAGUGUGGACCCACUUUAAUGCUUACAAAUCUCUACCAAUAACACUUCUCUUUAUGUAUUUCCAUACUUAAACCACUGGAAAUAUUCUUUACUACCUAAUUUCAGAGACCUAUCAAAUUGGCAUUCUGGAAUAUCCAUGUACCUAAAUGCUAAAUGAGAUACGAAAACAAGCUGUCAAAAUUAUAACCUGCUCCUUACUUUUGUUUAUCAGCUAUUAGUCCCAGCGCAUUCUAAACACUUUUCCUGAUUCCUUCUCAGUCUUGCACAAUUCUCCUUUGUUUGCACAGACAUGGGGAGUUUUGUAUAAUAUCAAAGGUCUCAUUCUAGGUUAUUAUGUCAUGGUUUUUAAAUUCUAUAAUAAAUGGAGCUUAAUUAAGGCUCAUUCUCCUAAGCUAUCAGAGACA